UACGUAGGGGGCAAGCGUUGUCCGGAAUCAUUGGGCGUAAAGCGCGCGUAGGCGGCCCGGUAAGUCCGCUGUGAAAGUCGGGGGCUCAACCCUCGAAUGCCGGUGGAUACUGUCGGGCUAGAGUGCGGGAGAGGCGAGUGGAAUUCCUGGUGUAGCGGUGAAAUGCGCAGAUAUCAGGAGGAACACCGGUGGCGAAGGCGGUUCUCUGGGCCUUUCCUGACGCUGAGGAGCGAAAGCGUGGGGAGCGAACAGG
This 253-nucleotide ribosomal RNA is filed under the name uncultured bacterium. RNAcentral's name for it is "partial 16S ribosomal RNA". It matches the Rfam family "Bacterial small subunit ribosomal RNA", at positions 524 to 776 of the family's 1533-position model. The record is from RNAcentral.